This is a long non-coding RNA of Cygnus olor (mute swan), 1185 nucleotides long. RefSeq lists it as uncharacterized. NCBI's taxonomy places the organism in Eukaryota, Metazoa, Chordata, Aves, Anseriformes, Anatidae. The record is from RefSeq and is a predicted model, not a curated record. The transcript is spliced from 3 exons.
CAGGGAUGGGUAACAGGAAAGGAGAUACACAUCUAAAAACACCCAGAGUACAGUCAAAAGAAGUCCAAGAAGUAAUCUUUCCACUUGUUGCCCAGACUCAGCCAUUAAACAGAACAGAGCUAACCAACUAAACAGGUACCAUUCCUCAGCAAGAAAAUCAGGACAGAAAUGUUUUCAUUUACCUAGAUAUCUGCAUGAAACUUCAGUAAAAUCAAUUCUGACAAUUGCUGAAUCUCCACAAGACAGACAGAAAAGUUCAGAAGAGUUUACAUGAAGAUUUAAGUGGACUGCCAAGCCAUUUUGGACAAUGCCACAGCUGAGACUGAUGCUAUCCAGUCAACAGUUUUCAUUUCCCAGUGCUCUGAGGCAGCAUUCCUCAACACUUACAUAUCUUGGGCAAUAAUCCUGUAAGCAAAUACAUUAUCCUUUGGCAUGAGUAGUAAGAUGUUUUUCUCUCCUUAUUUGUCCCCACUCUAGUUUUUACUUUACCCACAAGCAUCAGAGGUUGUUGCAGGCAAUGAGUGCUAUGACCAUAGUUUUCAGACCACCCUUUUAAGGUUCCUUGAAUUUGUUGGAAAUAGUAAGACUGGGAUCUGACAACCAAAAUACUGCUAGGUCAUAAUAAUUUGAUGGGCUUGACAAAGAAGGCAAUAGUUAACUCAGAUGCAGUAACAUCACUAGAUGAAAAGCACAGUAAAUUGUGUUGGUAGCUAUAUUGGCACCUAAAAGCACGUGAGAGCUCAUUCUGACAGUGAAAAAUUGUUGAAUUUACUUGAGAAAACAUUCCUUAAAAAUACUUCAAUUACUCAAGCAAUUUAUUCCCCUUUGGUAAUUUAUGGAGUCCCACCAGAAGCCAGAAACAAUGAAAAUGAAGGGAUACUUCUUGUCACACCUUCUUGUUCAGUGACAGGAAAGAAGGUCAAGUUCCUUUUGCUGUGGUUCCUUCUAAAUAGUCAUCUCUUAUUGACUUGUACUACAAAGCAAGGUAAAUAAUCAGCUAUGCCUCAGUCCAUAGUUUUCAAUACUGUAAACUACAAUAAACUAGAUUAUGUAUCUGUUCUCAGAUACAUAAUCAAUGAAAGCUGAAAACCUUUGAGGGCUGUGCUACACAAUCUUUGCAUUCUAAAGAUAUAUUUUCACAGACACAGUCUGCGCUGAUUUCUCAACUAAUCUACAUAAAUAAAA